GUGACUAGAACUAGGAUUUGUAAAAAGUUCGUGAUUCUCUCAGCCCGUUUAAAGCACAAUGUAGGUGUUGAUCUAGUGAGGGAGUCAAUGAGAUAGAGCAUUGCAGAGCUUGCUAGAGAGGCACAGGAAGUCGCCUGAAGUGAAGGAGGGGGUGGCUGCUGCAGAAGCUAAAGCUUCCGCCAAACAAAAGAGGACAGCACUUCCGGUCACGCCAUCGUCGCUGCCUUCUCCGUCAAGCCCACUGUGCAUCUCCUCACCUGUUUUUUUCCCCACAUCCCAGAUAUGUCAUCACACAGAUGGAGUUUCGCUCUUGUUACCCAGACUGGAGUGCAAUGGCACGAUCUCGGCUCACCGCAACCUCUGCCUCCUGGGUUCAAGCAAUUCUCCUGCCUCAGCCUCCCAGUAGCCGGGACUACAGGUGCGCACCACCAUGCCCAGCUAAUUUUUGUAUUUUUAGUAGAGACGGGGUUUCACCAUGUUGACCAGGAUGGUCUCAAUCUCUUGACCUCGUGAUCCACCUGCCUCGGCCUCCCAAAGUGCUGAGAUUACAGGCUUGAGCCACCGCGCCCGGCCUUAUUUUGCUUUUUCUAUAUGUGUUAAGAAUCUGAAUUUUCAAGAUAUGUCAUUAAAAAUAGUGGCAUAUUUAUUGUGGUUCUUCAUGUCCCUUCAUCCUUUGGCUGCUAUUUGUGUCAACCUGUUUAAUACCAUAACUGCAGUCUCUUACACAAGGCCAAGGUGUUCCAGAAAACAUGUCAUCUCUCUUUAUUACCAAUUGCACAUUAUACUAUUCCUGUUGCCUUUUACAGCAUGUUGCACCUGAGGCUAUCUAUCUGACAGAUAUUGCAUGAAUAGUGUGUUACACACAGAUUUGUGGUUUCCCAGUUGGAAAUUUUGGGACUGUGAGUGUAAGAGAAUCACUAGGCUUAGGAGGGAACCACAUCUCAUUUGUGGCCAGGAGGUGAAGGGGUGUUCUAUAAAUCACUGAAGGAUGUGGGCAAGCUUAUUUUUUAGGAAGGGGCAUUCUAGAGGUCAUAAAGAAAAGAUUUCAGGUGGGAAGGAGAGCAGUGAAACAGCAGAUUCAAGGAGAAGUGGGAGUAGGUUACUACUUUUCAUUCCCUCUAUUUGUCUUCUUGAUUAUAAGAAUAUGUUUCUAGAGUUCUGAAAGGCAAGAAGUGUAAGAGAACAAAGGGAGAGUCAGAGAAGGUGAGAAAGGAAAACAUACACAGUCUGAGAAUGUCAGACGUGAUGGGAGAAUAGUGGGGAAGAUAGAUUGCAACCCUCAGCAUGGAUUGAUAAGUCUUAGGAAAGACAGAUCAUUAAUUAAUUAAUCAAUUAAGUAAAAACAUAGUGAUGACUAGCUGGAUAAUGAGAACACGUAAUUGACUUAAAUGUAUUUUCAACUGAGUGAGAUAGACAUAGACAUUGCAACAGCCAGUGCUUGCUGGAGGAGAGACGAAUGUCUGGUGGUAGCAGUAGAGACAUAGAGGAAGGUCCUCUAACCUAUCUUAAGGGCUCAGAGAAGGCUUCCUAGAAGAGACCAUGUUAAGAACUGAAUUUUGACAAAAAAAGUGUUGAGUGGGAUCAGAGAGCAAGUGGUUAUUUAGACUAUGUAAAGUAGCUGAAUGGGUAUGCCAUUUAGCCUUGAACCUAAAGUAAUGGGCAAUUUAGAGGUUACUCUGUGGUCUAGUAGAGCUAAGGAAAAGGGACAAGUGGAAAGGAAUCGUUUUAUAAAUGGUUAAAUUUAUGCUAUAAUAUGUAUCACUUUAGUUAAGAGCAACCUCUUCUAUUUUACCCAGUAUGCCAUGAAAUGAUCAUUUUCUGUAUAUGUUGUGACAUGAACAAAUAUAAGCAUGUAUUUGGAUAUUGAAAAUGCAUUGUGUUCUCUGUAUCAAGGGGUUUUCAUAAAUUCUCUUGAAUCGUGCCAACAACCCUAUGGAGGUGGAAACUGACUUCAAGAUGAAGUGACACACAUAACUGUCUGUUAGAGACUGAACUGAGAUUAAAACUAUGUCAUUGUCCAUUUGCUGGAUGUCCAAGGUUUACAGUGUCUUCAUAACCUAUGCCAAUCCUACUCUUGCACAGGUAACUAUUCUUUUAAGUAAAGUGAAAUUUAAAAUGACUUCCAUCUUAUCACUUUGCAGGACUGUUCAGUUAAUGACUUUCAGCAGUCAGUAUCCUGAGUUUUGUUUCUCAACUAUGGUCAUCAUUGUCAUAUAUAAAAUGCCCUGACCAUCAUUUUGAAGCUUGACCUCUUUCCAAAUCCCCAUCCCUUAAAUUUGUUUUCUUCUAGUAUGGGGCCAGGCAUGUGAAAUUAUGUUCAGAUCAUAAUCCUUUGUACCACCUUUCCAGAAAAAAAAAAAAAAAACAACUCAUCCUUCUUAGCCAAAUCCCUCUUUCUUGUCAAAGAAAUGUCCCUUAGUCUGCUUAGUGUUAUCAUAACAUUUAUUUUUAAAAAUAUGUUUAUUUAGCUCGUGGUUAUGCAGGCUGGGCAGUUCUAGUGGCAUGGUGUUGGCAUCUGCCCAGCUUCUGGUGAGGGUUUUUGUGCUGUAUCAUAACAUGGGGAAGGUCCAAAGGGUGAGAGGGGAGACCCCAUUGCCUCCUUCAACUUCACCUCUUCCACCCACUUUCAGAUGGGAAGGAGAGUGAAGAAGGGAAAAAAAUAAAAUAAAAUACUAAAGAGCUGGGAAAAUGACUCCCUUUUUAGUUCCCAGCGUCUCUGCUAUCUGUUACCUUGAAAGAGCUGCAAAUGAAUGCUAUCUCUGUGGGCUCGAGCCCGGCACUGGUUCACUCCCCCAUGUCUCCAUGGACCAGACUCCCUCUUGGAAACACCUCUGCCAACAAACAGCUUGUUGCUUUUGUCUUGUCUCUGUAAGCCCCCUUCCCUUGCUGGUCCCUGCUCAUGCUGCAUAUGAAUUAGCAAAUCAAUGAAGCCAAAAGAUUGUAAGGUUGGACAUCCAGCAAAUGGACAAUGACAUAGUUCUGCCUCAGUUUCCCUUUUAGCAUUGUCAGCCUAUAAAAGGGAAGAGAAGCUGCAGCUCAGGGAGCUUGGUGAAUGAGGCUGAAGCCCCCCGCAGCUCCUGGCUGAAUAAAAAAGCCACUUCCUUCCUCAGUUCCGUGUUCGAGAGGUUUGUUCCCUGCUGUUCCUGCUACAGGGGGACAUGGCCUUGUGCAAAGGGACAAAACUUGAGGGACACCCUGGUCUUAUAACAACCCACUCUCACAGAAACUAAUUGCAUGAGAACUCAUUCACUUUUGUGGGAACGACACCAAGCCAUUCAUGAGGGAUUUGCCACCAUGACCCAAACACCUCCAACUAGGCCCCACCUCUAACACUGUCACACUGGGGAUUAAGUUUCAGCAUGAGUUUUGGUGAAGACAACUGUAUCCAAACAAUAGCAGCCCCUUUCCUGCUUUUUGCCUACCUUCCUAGGGGGAAAAUACAGAACAUACUUAACUCUUGGAGAGUUUUGGGUUCCCAGGACAAAUCCCUGCUUCCUUUCCAUUUAGGACUUCUAGGCUUCAGAUGACUGUUAUCUCCUAGUUGAGGCCUGAAUAUAUAGACUGACUCUGAGAUCUUUAGGAAACUGAGAAGAUUUAGUGCUGGAGUUGCCCUAGUGAUUAUUUUUGAUUGACACCAGCUGUGCCCCAAACAAGAUACUGGAUAUUUAGAUGAGUCAGACAAAGACCUGCCCUCAAAGACCUCUUAGUUUUGUGUGAAGGAGGAACAUGUAAACAGCAAUUACACAGAUAAAUAGCAUGAUAUUGUGGAAGCACAAAGGAAUGUGAUCUAAUUGCAGGGGGCAGGUAGCAAGGAAGUCUUUUGGGUGGAGAUAACAUCUGUGCUAGAUAUCGAAAGAUGGUAUGAGAUAAUAGAAGAAGGUAAAGAGUGGUAAGAGGGGUAGGCAGUCAGUAAGGUCAUGGACAGCUUUUUUUGUUUCUUUGAGAUGAAGUUUCACUUUUGUUGCCCAGGCUGGAGUGCAAUGGCACGAUCUCAGCUCACUGCAGCCACCGCAUCCCAGGUUCAAAUGAUUCUCCUGCCUCAGGAGUAGCUGGGAUUACAGGCAUGCACCACCACACCCAGCUAAUUUUGUAUUUUUAGUAGAGACAGUUUCUCCAUGUUGGUCAGGCUGGUCUUGAACUCCUGACCUCAGGUGAUCCACCCUCCUCGGCCUCCCAAAGUGCUGGGAUUACAGGCGUGAGCCUCCAUGCCUGGCGGGAUGGCCUUUUUUAUGCUAAUAGGCUGGAACUCAGUGGAGAGGGGUUUAAAGUGGGGGGGGGGGAGGAUGUCAUGAUCAGAUUAUCACUCUUGAAAGGUCACUGAAUUAGAACUGAAAGUUCCCAUUGAGCAAGGUAACAUAUUCUGUAUGUUUGAAAGUGUUUCUAGUUCGCUGUUACUACAAGUUGUCCCCAUUUUUAUUUUUACUAUAUGCCGUGUUUAACAGCAUAUUACAUACUUUGAGAAUACUGUCUCUGGUCUAACACAAGCGUAUAAGUUACGUAAUAUCAUUUCUGUUUCAUAUAUAAAUAGUAUUUCAGGGAAGUCAAGGGUGACAUAAUAAAGAUAAUUUUGAGUUAGGUAUAGAGCUGUGAUUUUCCAAAUUUUGCUCCUCCAGCCUUUCCAGAAACUUGGGUAAGGAAGGGUCAGGUUUCUGGGUUCUCUGCUUGUGCCCCAACAAGAAUUACUCUGUUCUAUUUCUUAUUUACUGUGCCCUUGGAUAAGGUUUUGUUUAGAAAAACAGGAACUGCAUCUUUGAAAAUUAAUUCAAAUGCAAAGAUGCUAUACUUCAGGAUACUGGGGACAAAGAAACGAAGACAGACAAAAAUAGUAUUAAUUUGACGGAAUGAGUAAGAUGUAGAUGGCUAAAUAUAGAAGCAAAGGAGGAAUUUAGGAUGAUGCUGUUUUUGUUUCUGGCUUGGGAGACUCAGAGGAUAUGGUGCCAUUGAAGAAGGGGCAGGGAGGUUAUGCCCACUUUCAUGUUUUUGUGGGAUAACCACAAAGAUGUGUCUGGUUGGCAGUUAGAUAUAUUGCUUGGAGUUUAAGAGGGGGAUCUGGGGUGAAGAUAAACAUUGGAUGUUUAUUGACACAGAAAAAGUUGAAACUAUGGAGGUGAAUGAGAUUGCUUAGGCCAGUAUGGUCCUACAGAAAUAUAUUGUAAGCCACAUGUAUAAUUUUAAAAAUAAACUUUAUUUUGGAUUUACAAUAAUAUUACCAGCAUAGUCCGGAAAGUUCCUCUAUACCCCACAUUCAGUUUCUGCUAUUGUUGACAUAUUAAAUUAUUAAUGUACAUUUGUCACAACUAAUGAACCAAUAUUGAUAUAUUGUUAUCAACAAAAGUCCAUACGUUAUUCAGAUUUCCUUAUUUAAAAAAUUUAGGGCCCUGUCCUCCCUUAGACAUCCUGGGUGCCACAUGGCUGCUUAAGACUAAGGAUGACUGGAGAAGACAUGAGGGAGGGUACCCAUGUCAGUUUAAAACUUCUUUUCAGUAGUUUAAAAUCUUAAAGUUAUGUUAAUAUUAAAUUAAUAAUCAUAAAAUGCCUAAGUCAUUUAAGUUAAAAUAUUAAACAUUAAUUAUUAAGCAUAAGCUUAAGUUGAUAUAUUUUAGCAUCUUAUUUUUAAAUGGUAUAGAAAAGCUAAAUAUAUUUAGAUUUGUUAAUGAACAAAAAUUUGAGGUCUUGAGCAGUGGCUCAUGCCUGUAAUCCUAGCACUUUGGGAGGCCAAGGCAGGAGGGUCGCUUGAACCAGGAGUUUGAGACCAGCUUGUGCAACAUAGAGAGACCCUGUCUCUACAAAAAAGAAAAAAAAAUAGCUGGGCAUGGUGGCACACACCUGUGGUCCCAGCUACUCCUCAGAAGGCUGAGUUGUGAGAAUCACUUGAGUUUGGGAGGUCAAGGUUGCAGUGAGCCGUGGUUGCGACACUGCCCUCCAGCCUGGGUGACAGAGCAAGACCGUAUAUCAAAAAAAUAAAAAUAAAAAAAAAAGAGAGAGAGAAAUAAAAAGAAAAGCAAGGUAUGUUUUUGGCAAGGAAAGGCACAAAAAUGUGUGUUUAUUAAAGAAUUUGUCUAGUUUAAAAGUUGCUUAAAGAUCAUUUCAAAUUAAAUAAAUCAAAAGAGAUAUAAAUAAAACACAAAACAUGGAAAAGAGAAAAUUUAAAAAGUACCUCCAGGAUAUUAUAUUACAUUUAGUCAUUAUAUUUCUCUAGGAUACCCUUUGUUAUGCCAAUUUCUCAGGCUUUCCUUGUUUUCGAUGACCUUCAUAGUUUUGAGGAGUAUUCAUCAGGGUUGUAGAAUGUCCCUCAGUUUGAGUUUGUCUGAUAUUUUUAUCCUGGUUAGACUAGCGUAUGGGUUUUGAUUUUGUUUCUUAGAGGGCACAGAGAUAAAGUACUAUUCUCAUUGCACAAUGAGGACGUCCUGCGAAUAUGACUUAUCUGCGAGGAGAGGAAUCUUGAAUACUGGUCUGGGGUAGUGUUUGCCAGGUGACUCCACUGUAAAAUCACUUUUUUUCACCUUCCCAUUCUGUAUUCUUUUCAGGGAAGCCACUAUGUACAGUCCAAACUUAAGGGAUGGGUGUUAUGCAUCUCCUUUUGGCGGAAUUUGGAAUUUUUCUCUACAAGAGAUUUGACUUCUGUCCUCCAUUUACACAUCUAGUCAUUUAUCUGUAUCAAUAUUGACCCAUGAAUAUUUAUUUUAUACUCUGGGUUCUAGUCCAGUACUACAUUAUUUACAUUAUUAACUUUGUUGCUCAAAUUGUUCCAGCUUUGGGCCAGGCAUGGUGGCUCAUGCCUGUAGUCCCAGCACUUUGGGAGGCCAAGGCAGGUGAAUCACUUGAGGUCAGGAGUUCAAGACCAUCCUGGCCAACAUGGCGAAACUCUGUCUCUACUAAAAAUAGAAAAAGUAGCCAGGUGUGGUAGCGCACACCUGUAAUCCAAGCUACUCAGGUGGCUGAGACAGGAGAUUGCUUCAACCCUUUAGGUGAAGGCUUCAGUGAGCCGAGAUCACACCACUGUACUCCAGCCUGGGCAACAGAGCAAGACUCUGUCAAAAAAAAAAAAAAUUGCUCCAGCUUUGGUUAUUGGGGCAAUUUUAGAUUCACUCUUGUGUCUCUUGAAAUGCCCCCAUUGUUUUGUUUUUUUGAGUACUUCCUUACUUUCUGGAACACAAGAUACACCAGGCUCAUAUUGUAUAUUCCAUGCCCCAGCCCUAGAAUUAGCCAUUUCUCCGAGAUCCCUUUCUUUUAUUAGAGUAUGGUAUUACACACCAAGGUCCAGGUGUUGUGUGUACUCAUUGCUAUCAAUGUGUCAAUGCUUCUAGGCCUCUGAGCAGACAGAGUUAGGAAAUAUGUAUACUAAUCACGUAUUCACAUGUAUUUAUAAAUAUUUAUGUAUAUUCCAUCUUUAUCUUAAGCUAAACAUGAGUUUAUACUGAUGACUCUGAUUCUAAUCCAGUACCAUGAACAUGGUUUAUUCUAGCCUUCCCAACUUGCUUAUCUGUAACCUCUCAUUCCAGUGACAAACCUUGUUCCCACCACCCUCCAUCCAUUCACUUGUUUGUUCAAUUCCAGUAUGCAUGUAUGGCAGUUUCAGAAUUACUAAUUCAUACUCCACAAGAAACAACUUCACCAGCUAUAGUACAGCACUUGUGUAGUUUAUUUUGUCUUUACUCUUAUAGUCUCUACUCAUUUCCAAAGUUACCUAGGGUGGCACCUUUCCUUUCUACCCUCUUUAGGAAGGUUCUAGCAUACAUCUGUAAAUCAGUUAAAAUUUUUGUCACCAUAUGCAUUCCAUCCUGUUAUCCCUUGCCCUCCUAGUUGACAUUUAAAACAUUUACAUAAAUUAAGGUUCACUCUUAUGCUGUAAGGUUCUGUGGGUUUUGACAAAUGGAUAACAUCGUGUACCACUGCAGUGUCAUACAGAAUAAUUUCACCAACCUAAAAAGUACACUCUGCACUUCAUUUGGUCAACCCUACUUCCCUCCCUAAACUCUUGGCAACUACUAAUUCUUUUCCUCUAUGAUUUUGUUUUUGAACAAUGUUACAUAAAUAGAAUCAUGCAGUAUGUCUUCUUUUCAGACUCUCUUUUUCACUUAAAAUAUGCAUUUCAGAUUCACUCGUGUUGUUACAUGGGUUAACAGCUCAUUAAAUUUUAUCACUCUUUUGUUGUUGCAUUACAUUUUUAUGUUUAUGCCUAAUGAAUAAUUUUAUAGAUAUUGUUUUAUGCUGUUGACUUUUAAACAUGUUAAGAGAAGAAAUAUUAGUUACCCUGUUUUUAUAUUUAUCUUCAUAAUGGCCUUUACCAUUGCUAUUUGUUUUUGUGUGGAUUCAUAGUACACUCUGGAGUCAUCUUUCAGUCUGAAUAACUUCUUUUAGUAUUUCCUUCUUUUUUUACUUUAUUUUCUUGAGUCGGAGUCUUGCUCUGUUGCCAGGCUGGAGUGCAGUGGUGUGAACUCAGCUCACUACAACCUCCGCCUCCCAGGUUUAAGCAAUUCUCCUGCCUCAGCCUCCUGAGUAGCUGGAAGUAUAGGCACGUGCCACCAUGCCCAGAUAAGUUUUGUAUUUUUAGUAGAGACGGGGUUUCACCAUGUUGGCCAGGUUGGUCUUGAUGUCUUGACCUCAUGAUCUGCCCUCCUCAGUCUCCCAAAGUGCUGGGAUAACAAGUGUGAGCCCCCAUGCCUGGCUGUCUUUUAGAAUUUCUUGCAAGGCAGGUCUGGUAACAACAAAUUCCCCCAGUUUUUGUUUAUCUAGUAAUAUUUUUUGUUUUUGUUUUUUUUUGAGACUGAGUCUCACUCUAUUGCCCAGGCUGGAGUGCAGUGGUACAGUCUUGGCUUACUGCAAUUUCUGCCUCCCAGAUUCAAGCAAUUCUCAUGCCUCAGUCUCCUGAGUAGCUGGGAUUACAACACCUGCCACCACACCCAGCUAAUUUUUUGCAUUUUUAGUAGAGAUGGAGUUUCACCAUGUUGGCCAAGCUGGUCUUGAACUCCUGACCUCAAAUGAUCCUCCCGCCUCAGCCUCACAAAGUGCUGGGAUUACAGGAUUGAGCUAUAGCACCCAGUCUAUCUGGUAAUAUAUUUUUUUAAAUUCUGCCUUGCUUUUUUUUUUUGAGACAGAGUUUUGCUCUUGUUACCCAGGCUGGAGUGCAAUGGCGCAAUCUCGGCUCAUCGCAACCUCCGCCUCCUGGGUUCAGGCAAUUCUCCUGCCUCAGCCUCCUGAGUAGCUGGGAUUACAGGCGCGUGCCACCAUGCCCAGCUAAUUUUUUGUAUUUUUAGUAGAGAUGGGGUUUCACCAUGUUGACCAGGAUAGUCUGGAUCUCUUGACCUCGUAAUCCACUCACCUGGGCCUCCCAAAGUGCUGGGAUUACAGGCAUGAGCCACUGUGCCCGGCCUUUUUUUUGUUAGUAAUUCUGUUUUUAAAUUAAUAUAUAAUGCACAAAAAAUAAAAAUGAACAUUUUAAGGUAUAAAAUUAAGUGAUUUUAAAAGCAUAUUUACAAAGUUGUGCAACCAUCAACACUAUUUCAUUCCUGAACAUUUUCAUCACUCCCAAAAGAAAUCCUGUAUACAUUAUUAGUCACCCCCAAGUCCCCAUUCUCUCAGCCCGUGGCAACCACUAAUAUACUCUGUCUCUCUGAAUUUCCCUAUUCUGGACUUUUCAUAUAAAUAGAAUCUUGCAAUAUGUGGCCUUUUGUGUCUCGCUUCUUCCACUUAGCAUAAUGUUUUCAAAGUUUAUCCAUGCUGUUGCAUUUCUCAGUAUUUCUGUCCCUUUUUAUGGCUGAAAGAUAUUCCAUUGUAUGAAUACCUUUUAUGUAUUUGUUAUCAGAUUGUAGAUGGACAGAUGAGUUGUUUGUACUUUUUGGCUAUUAUGAAUAAUGCUGCUAUGAGCUUUUAUUUUAUACAUUUGGUAUACAUUUUUGCACUAACAUAUGUUCUCGUUUCUCUGGUGUAUACACCUAGGAGUGAAAUUGACAGUAACUCUAUAUUUAACUCUUUGAAGAACUGUCAAACUUUUCCAAAAUGGCUCUACCACUUACAUUCCUAUCAGGAAUGUAUGAGCAUUCUGAUUUCUCCACAUCCUUACUAACACUUGUUGUUUUCCCUUUUUUUUUUAAUUACAACCUUCUUAGUGAGUAUAAAUAAUAAAGAAUCUCACUUAAUUUUUAAAAUAUAAGAUUUAACUACUGACAUCUUUUAAGCCUCACCUCUCCAUCUUCAUUUUCUGCCCCACAACUGGGUAACGUGAUUAGAAAGCCUAGUGCUUCCUCCUUUGGAGCUAGCAAGAGAUUCAGAUCAUGCAAGUGUCUUCCUGAAAGAAAGAACCCUCACUCCUGCCUCAUCCUUUAACCACAAUAAAAACUCAAAGUUAAUUUCCUUUCCUUUUUCUAUCUUGCUCGGGAGACUUGCCUUGCUCUCUCUAGAAAUGCAUCAUUUAUAUAAGUAAGUAGUAAACAUUUUCAUACCCUCUGUGUGUGAGGUGUUAUCAGUCUGAACAUUGGAAUCAAAGCUUGGGUGGGGUCCCUCCUUCUUCUGCAGGAUGGCAAGACCAAUUGGCACAGUGAGCUUGGUGCUCAGAUAAGGAGAGAGCCAUCAUGCGGGGAAGGGAGUAUGUUUCCAUAAUUGCUAUGGCUCACUAAUUGGUUCUCAUGGCAAGCAUAAUCACUGAACCUGCAAGGCUAGCUUAUUUUUUAGUUGUGCUAUGCUGUGUUGUAUUGCUGACUCCUAUAGAAACCUUUCAUAGAUUUAGUUAACUUGGAAGUUUAGAUAAUUUAAUUGACAUUUAGGAACAGUAGUAUGGGAUCCUUAAAGUAGCCCUGGAUCAUAUGUCUCAGCUCAGACCUAUUUGCAUCUUAACAUAAAGCUGUGACUGAUGCUAGGCUCAGGAGGACAACCGUGUCUAUGACUAGUUGGUUAUGUGUCUCAAUUAGGCUCUGACCCUGACAGCUGACUGCCCAUUGGGUGGCGGCUCUUGAGAGCAGUCAUUAGGGCGUGAAAAAAAGAGCAAGAGAAGAGAAAAGAAACAGCUGUUAUGUGGCUUGCUGUGGUCUGCACUCCUAAGCACAAAUGACUCACUAGGACCCUUAAAUACCUCCGUUGCUGUUGCUGGUGCUGGUGCUGGUGCUGCUGCCUCUGCUGCCACUGCCACUGCCACCACCACUGCCUGUGCUUCUGUUGCAACAAAGAUCCUGAUCUUCAGGAGUAUAGGGAAAAACAUCAGUGGCACCCCUGUUGCUUGGAGAAAGGGGUAAUUCAAGUCCAACUAAAGCCCCUAGUCCUUUAAUCUUAUAUGACCACCAUUGGCUUUGGGGAGGCCCCUUACAGUGACAAUGUUGACGGGCGACUUUCUGAAGGAAGACAUUUGUAAAUAUGAGCAGGGUAGGGACCCCCAGAAAUAUACCCAGUAACAACAGCAACAACAAAAAAGAAGUACAGCCAUGUACAGCAUUAUGAUGUUUUGGUCAAUGAUAGACCACAUAUGAGGAUGGUGGUCUCAUAAGACUGUAAUGGAGCUGAAAAAUUUCUAUCACCUGGUGAUGUCAUAGCUGUUGUAACAUUGUAGUGCAACGUGUUACUCACGUAUUGAUGGUGAUGUCGGUGUAAAGAAGCCUGCACUACCAGUCGUACAUAAUAAUUGUUACAUAGUCGUACAUAAUAAUUGGUACACAAUAAUUGAUAAUGAUAAAAAACAGCUAGGUGUGGUGGCUUAUGCCUGUAAUCCCACCACUUUGAGAGGCCAAGGUGGACAGAUCACUUGACGCUAGGAGUUUGAGACCAGUCUGGCCAACAGGGUGAAAAUCUAUCUUUAAAAAAAAAAAAUGGGCUGGGUGCGAUGACACAUGCCUGUAGUCUCAGGUACUCUGGAGGCUGAGGCAUGAGAAUCGCUUGAAUCUGGGAGGCAGAGCUUGUAGUGAGCCAAGAUUGUGCCACUGCACUCCAGCCUGGGUGACAGAGCAAGACCCUGUCUCAAAAAAAAAAAAAAAGAGAAAAAACAACCAUGUUUAUGCAUUUACUAUAUCACAAUUUUUAUUAUUAUUUUAGAGUGUAAUCUUUCUACUUAUUAAAAGAAAAGUUAACUAUCAAUGGCAGGCAGGUCCUUCAGGAGGUAUUCCAGAAGAAGGCAUUGUUAUAGGAGAUGACAGCUCCAUGUGUAUUAUUGCUCCUGAAGAACUUCCGGUGGAACAGGAUGUGGAGGUGGAAGACAGUGAUAUUGGUGAUCCUGACUCUGUGUAGGGCAAGCCUAAUUUGCAUGUAUCUUAGUUUUUUAGAAAAAUAAAUAAAUGAAUUUUAAAACAGAAAUAAGCUCAUAGAAUAAGAAUAUAAAGAAAGAAAAUAUUUCUAUAUAGCUGUACAAUGUGUUUGUGUUUCAAAAGCUAAGCAUUAUUACAAAAGAGUCAAAAAAAUUUUAAAAAGUUUAUAAAGUGAAAAGUUAUAGUAAGCUAAGGUUAAUUUGUCACUGAAAGAAAUUUUUAAAGCAUGAUUUUGAUGUAGCCUCAGUGUACGUUAGUGUACAAUAAUGUCCUAGGCCUUCACAUUCACUCACCACUCAUUCACUGACCCACCCAGAACAACUUCCAGUCCUACAAGCUUCAUUCAUGGUAAGUGCACAAUACAAGUGUACCAUAUUUUUGUCUUUUUUUUUUUGAGACGGAGUUUCACUUGUCACCCAGGCUGGAAUGCAAUGGUGCAAUCUCCGCUUACUGCAACCUCUACCUCCCAGAUUCAAGUAAUUCUCCUGCCUCAGACUCCUGAAUAGCCAGUAUUACAGGUGCCCGCCACCAUGCCUGGCUAACUUUUGUGUUUUUAGUAGAGACAGAGUUUUGCCAUGUUGACCUGGCUGGUCUCGAACUCCUGGUCUCAAGUGAUUCACCUGCCUUGGCCUUCCAAAGUGCCGGGAUUAUAAGCGUGAGAGACCAUGCCUGGCCAUAUUUUUGUCUUUUAUACCAUAUUUUUACUGUACCUUUUCUAUGUUUAGGUAGGUUUAGAUAUACAGAUACACAAAUACGAAGAUACACAAAUUGUAUUCAGUAUAGCAAUGUGCUGUACUGGACUAUAGUCUAGGAGCAAUAGUCCAUACCGUAUAACACAGGUGUGUAGUAGUCUUUAUCAUCUAGGUUUGUGUAAGUACAUUCUGUGAUAUUCACACAGCGGUGAUGGUGAUGAAACCACCUAAUGACCCAUUACAUUUCUCAGAAUGUAUCUCCAUUGUUAAGUGACACCAUGACUGUAAAAGAAAGAAAAACAGCAGAUAUGAGAGGACAAGGAAACAAACAGGAAAGAAGAUCUGUGAUUUGACCCAAUUAGAAUCCAGAAUUUAUGGAAAGAUUUUACUAAAAGAGCAAAAAACAAAAGGGUGCUGAUUGGUGUUGAAAUGCAGUGGGUGGCAAAACUUCAUGACCUUAAUUAAUACUGGGGCUCAAAUUGGUUAUAUGUCAGGAUCCCACUAUAUUUAAGCAAGGUACCUCCUAUUAUCUAAGGGGAGUUCCUGAACAUGAAAGAGAUAAACAAAUAUGCCUCACAUUAACUAUCAGAAUUAUUGCCUUGCCUGAAUUCCUCACAUUCGUACCAUUCAUUGCCUUAAAAUAUCCCCUAGUGGGUAGUAUGAGUACUCUGAUGUAAUGAGUGAUAAAAUUAAGUAUUUGGCACAUGUGAAUCAGUUUGGCAAUGUGAGAUCCCAAGGACUAUACCCCAGUAAAAAUAGGUUAAUACAGCCCACUAUAAAUUAGAAUAUAGUCUACAAAUAUGGCAGCCCCUGAUACAAGGCCUAUUUGGUGAAAGGGUGAUUAUCCCCAUGUCUUCUCCUUUAACGACCCAAUUUGGCCGUUUUUUUUUUUUUUUUGUGAGCAGGCUGGAGUGCAGUGGCGCAAUCUCAGCUCACUGUAACCUCCACCUCCUGGGUUCAAACGAUUCUCCUGCCUCAGCCUCCCGAGUAGCUAGGACUGCAGGCACACGCCACCAUGCCCGACUAAUUUUUUGUAUUUUUAGUAGAGACGGGGCUUCACCGUGUCAGCCAGGAAGGUCUCAAUCUCCUGACCUCGUGAUCCACCCACCUCGGCCUCCCAAAGUGCUGGAAUUAUAGGCAGGAGCCAAUGCGCUGGCCUUAGCCUGUUCUUAAAACUUCAAAUGAAUGGAACCUAAUGGUGGAUUACCAUAAUGCUAAUGUUGUGGUCCCACACAUUAAGGUCCCCAUACCCAGUAUUGUUGACAUUACUGACUUCAUCCAGUUUGUGACUGGUAAAUAUUUCGCUUUUAUAGAUUUGGCUAAUUUGUUCUGUUCACUGUCUAUUUCAGCAGCCGUUCAGCCUCAGUUUGCCUUCACCUCUGAAGGGACACAAUAAACAUUUACCUGGCUGCUUAUGGGAUACCUGAACAGUUUUGCCAUUGUACUCUAUCUUUGCUGGCAAGAUCUUAACUGUACUGAGCUUUUUCUAGGUGUAGAGGUAUGACAUUACAUUGAUGACACCCUUCCCCGAGGAGAUUCAUUUGACACACUCAUUCAGGAAAUACACAUAGUCACAAAAUUGCUGACAAAAUGGGAUGGCCAUUGUUCCACAUGUAGUGCAAGGGCCUACCACUUUGUUUUAAUACCUACACAUUAUUUGCUAAACUGAAGACCAUUCUGUCUCUGACACUGUCAGAAAAGCAGCUAUUGACCCUGUCAGCACCCACAACUUCUUUUAGGCUCAUUUGUGUUCUGGUGACAAAAUAUUCCUCUUUUAUAAAUUUUGUAGAUGCCCCAUUUAUCCUAUUUCUUACAAAUCAGUUCAUCUUGAAUGGGGAUUCCUUCCAACAAAAGACGUUAGAAUCUGUCAAAAUUGCAAUAUGACAGACAUUAUUGUUAGUGACCCCAGAUGUGCUUCACCAUGGAGAUUUUAGCAACUUCCUGUUUCUCCUAGAUUCUCUGGACCAUCCAUGAUUGCCAUGAAUUGCCAAGGGUUUCUGAUGCAAGAAACUUGUCAUCCUUGGACCUGUUCUAUACACAAUUAGUGUGACAAUUGCUAGCUGCAUAGUGGGCUCUCUUAGAAAUAGAAGCUAUCACAAUCCCUGAGCCUGUGACCCUCCAUAUCCAGCUGCCUAUUGUGCCUUGGGUCAUGGAAGCCAUGGCACUACAAGUUGGGCAUGGUUACUGAGGCCUCCUUGCUACAAGAUGGAGAAAAACCCGGGUCUUCUGUCAUAUACCACUUGGAGGAAGGGGUGGCCUCCCCUGGCUUUAGUUCCUUGCCAAAUACCAUGGUGUUGGAGGAUGUCACCCCUCUCCCAGACCUUGUGGCUACCUGCAGAACCCCUUGAGAUCAAUGGAGUGAAAAACAAUGGUUUGUACGCUUUAUGGAUGAUAUCACAAGCAUUGUAUGCAACGGAGUUUGCUGGAGAGCUUAUGCUUUUCAUCUUGUAACCAAGAUGCUUCUGAUAAGAACAGGACACAGGGAUCAGUACAGUUGGCCAGACUUCAGACAUUCACCUUAGCACUGUAUGCCCUAGCCAACAAUUGGCCCUUCCGCACAUUUUGACAGACUCUUGAGCCAUUGCCUACGAGUUGCCCCAUUUGGGGAAAGAACUCUGAGAAUCUCUAACAUCACAGAAACCCAAAAUGUAAAUCAAAAUAACACAUUUAUCUUUGUAUGGUAAAGGUCAAACAUAAGGUCACACCAAGAGACUCCUCGUUUUCCUUUGGAAUUUGAGGCAUCACUGAUAGUGACCAAGGCACGCAUUUCAUUUCUUAGAAUAUACAAUUUUGGGCUUAAUGAAGGAAUUCAACAAAACAUUUACUUUCCUUACAGACUUCAUUCUGCAGGACUUACAGAGCACCAUACUGGCUUCAUUAAACAAAUUUAUAUUUAAGUAAAUGAAACAUGGCACAUUUCAGUCAUUAGACAAACAUCGGGGUGAAUUGUAAGAUUCUGACUCUAAUUUUUGAAGUUUGCUCACAUUUUUAAGCUUCACCCUCUUCCCCUCUGCCCCACAUCUGGGCAGGUUGAUAAGAAGCUCUGGUUGCUCCCUUAUUGGUGUCAGGAAAAGAUUCAAACCAUGGAAGCCACUUCAUGUGCAUAGGAACCCUUACCCUGGGCCCUAACUACAGUGAAAACCCUUUGUGGUUGUCUCCUUUCCUUGUUCUGUCAAGUCAUUUCUUACCUGCUUGGGAAGCCUGCCCUUCUCUACCAAGAAAAUAUUCAUUUAGGUAAGUAUUAAACCUUCUUGCACCCUCUUGGUGUGUUUAACCAGUCUCCACGUCUAACCUAAGUUUGGGAUGGAGAUCCCUUCUUCCUCUUCACAGUGUCAAGUAGUACCCAAUUGAGGUUCUUAUUUGCAUUUCCCUAAUGACUAAAGAUAUUGAAUGUAUUUCCAUGUCCUUAUUGACCAUUUGUAUAUCUUCUUUAGAGAAAUAUCUAUUCAAAUCCCUUUUACUUUUUGAAUUACAUUGCUUAUAUUUUUAAUUGUUUAGUUAUAUGACUUUUUAUGUAUUGUGGGUAUUAAGUCCCUAGCAGAUAUAUGAUUUUCAAUUGUCUUCCAUUCUAUGGGUUGUCUUUUUACUUUCUUGAUAGUGUCUUUUGAGGACAAAAGUUUUUCAUUUUGAUGAAGUUCAAACUAUCUAGUUUUUCUUUUAUAGCUUGUGCUUUUGUGUCUUAUAUAAAAGUUGUUUCUUAAUCAAGUUCACAAUGAUUUACACCUAUGCUUCUGUGAGUUUUAUAAUUUUAGCUUCUACAUGUAAGUCUUUGAUCUUUUUUGAGUUUAUUUUUGUAUGUGGUGUGAGAUAGGGGUCCAAUUUCAUUUACAUAUGGAUAUCCAGUUGUCCUGGCACCAUUGUUUAAGAGACUAUAAUUGGCACUCUUGUCAAAAAUCAAUUUACCAUAAAUAUAAGGGUUUAUUUCUACUCUUUCAAUUCUGUUCAUCAGUCUGUAUGUCUACAAUUAUUCUAGUACUGUAGAAUCUUAGUAACUGAAGCUUUGUAGUAAGUUUUGAUAUUAGGAAGCAUGACUCCUCCAACUUUGUUUCACGUUUUCAAAAUUGUUUUGACCAUUUUCAGUUACUUCCAUUUUAGUAUUAAUUUAAGGUUAGUUUGUCUGUUUCUGCACAGUAGGUAUUUAGAAUUUUAAUAGGAAUUUCACUGAAUCUAUGAGACAUUGGUUAUGUUGGUGUCUCUGUUCGGGUGCCAGCUGUGAUGAGUGUCAUGUCAGGGUCACCACCUGAGAUGUUGAUUACGUUGGUGUUACCACCUGAGGCAUUGAUCACCACCUGCGGAGGUCUAGUCUGUAGACCCCGACUUAGCGAUGGAUGAAGUAUAUCCUUAGACCCAGUACAGUGAUUUGAGUAUGCUAGGGAUGGUUGUCAACUGCUUUCAGAGGGCAAUUGCAGCUAACCAACCAUGACUCACUGUUUUUUUCCACAUUUAUUCAGUAUAGAUUUAAUAACAGAGGUUUUAAGUUAACAUGCUUGUGGAUAAUUAACAUGGUUAAAAGAGUGGUUUUAUAAAUGACAAAAGGUUUUGUUUCCAGGGUCUAGAAUAAACACCAUUAAUGGGUAAUUUCCCUUCUACCUCUCUCUGAGAGGGCCAUCCAGCACAAAGUGUACAUGAGUAAACAGUAAAGGAAUGUGGGGUAAACAGGACUUAACUGGGGAAGCUUUUAUUAUUCUAAUAUUUACCCUAUGACUUAAAGUUCUAACUAAGAACUGGCUGCCUUGAGCCCGUUCCAUUAAAACCUUUCGGCCUUCCAAAAGGUUUGAGACUAUAAUUUUAUAACUUUCCCUAACAUUUCCCUAAUAUUUUGCCAGCCAUCCCGAGUGAAUCCCAACAACUUUAUAGAUCAGUUUGGACAGUAUUGUCAUCUUAACAAUAUUAAAUCUUAUAAUUCAUGAACCCAAGUGUUUUCCCAUUUUUGAAGGUCUUAAAUUUCUUUCAGCAAUGUUUUGUAGUUUUUAGUGUACACAUUGUGGUCCCACACAUUAAGGUCCCCAUACACAAUAUUGUUGACAAAUCUUUCACCUCCUUGGCUAAAUGUAUUCCUAAGUGUUCAAUUCUUUUUUCAUGUUAUUGCAAAUAGACCUGUUUUCUAAGUUUUAUUUUAUUUUUAAUUAACACACAAUAAUUCUAUUUAUUUCUGUGGGUAAGUAUGAUGUUUCAAUAGUUGUAUACAAUGUGCAAUGAUCAAAUCAGGAUAUUUAGCAUAUUCAUCACCUCAAAUAUUUAUCAUUUCCUUGUGAUAAGAACACUCAAAAUCCUUCAUCUAGUUAUUUAGAAAUGUAUUACACAAUAUUGUUAAUUAUAGUCAUUCUACCGUUCAAUAGAACGGCACAAUUUAUUUCUCCUAUUUGACUGUAAUUUUGUACUCUUUAACCAGCCUUUCUGCCUCUCUUCUGCUCUCCUUUUUCCCUCUACCCUCCUCAGCCUCUGGUAAUCACUAUUCUAAUCUGUACUUCUAUGAGAUCAGCCUUUUUUAGAUUCCACAGGUGAGUGAGAUCAUGUGGUAUUUGUCUUUUUGUGCCUGGCUUAUUUUACUUAGACUUGUUUUCUUAAUUUUAUUUUUGGAUUGUUCAUUGCAAGGUAGAACUACAAUUGAUUUUUGUUGAUGAUCUUGUAACCUGCAACGCUGAACUAAUUUCUAAGUUCUAGUAGUUUUUAGUGGAUUCCUUAGAAUUUUUACGUUCAGGAUCAUGCCAUCCACAGAUAGGGAUACUUGUACUUCUUCCUUUAUAACUUCAGUGCCUUUCAUUGUGUUUUCUUUUAAAAUUGCCCUUGCUGGAAUCUUUAGUACAUUGUUGAAGUGGAGAGAGUAGGCAUCCUUGUCUUUUGCCUGAUUUUAGGGGAAAAGCUUUUGAUCUUUAAUUAUUUAUUGAUAUUAUUAUUAUUAUUAUUAUUAUUCUUAGUGACAGGGUCUCACUCUGUCACCUAGGCUGGAGUGCAGUGGCGCAAUCCCUGCUCACUGCAGCCUCGGCCUCCCAGGUUCAAGUGAUCCUCCUGCCUCAGCCCCCCAAGUAGCUGGGACUACAGGGAUCUGCCACCUUGCUGGCUAGUUUUUGUAUUUUUUUGUAGAGACUGGGUUUUGCCAUGUUGUCCAGGCUGGUCUCAAAUACCUGGGCUCAAGAGAUCCACCCGCCUUGGCCUCCCAAAGUGCUAGGAUUACAGGCAUGAGCCACUAUGCCCGGCCUGAUCUUUAAUAAUUAAGUAUGGUGUUUCUGUAAAUUUUUCAUAGAUGUUGUUAUCAGGUUGAAGAAAUUUCCUUCUGUUCCCAGUUUAAGUAUUUUUUUUUGUUUUUAAUGAAAAGAUGUUGGGUUUAAUGAAAACCUCUUUAUAUCCAUUGAGAUGGUCAUGUGGUUUUUGUCUUUUGUGCCCUUAAUACAGUGUAUUACACUGCUUUUCAUAUAUUUAUCCAGCUUUUUAUUUUUGGAAUAGACACAGUCAUGGCGUGGAGUUCUUUUUAUAUGUGUCUGAAUUUGGUUUAUUAUUUUGUUGAGGAUUAUUGUGUUUAUAUUCAUAAGGGAUAUUGGUCUGUAGGUUUCUUUUUUUGUAAUGCCAUUGUCUGGUUUUGCCAUCAGAAUAUUACUGACCUCAAGGAAUAAGUUAGGAAGUAUUUCCUUAUCUUCCUUCUUUUCAAGGACUUUCUGUAGAGUUUAGCAGUGAAGUUGUCUGGGCCUUGGCUUUUAUUUGUGGAUAGUGUUUUGAUUACUAAGUCAAUCUCUUCACUUGUUAUAUAGGUCUCUUUAUCUUACCUAUUUCUUACUAAGUCAGAUUCAGCAGUUUUUGUUUUUCUAGGAGUUUGUUUUAAGUUAAUCUGAUUUUUUGCCAUACACUUAUUUACAGCAUUUAAAAAAUGAGGUUGGAAGUAAUGUUCCCUCUUUCAUUUCUUACUCUAGUAAUUUGAGUCUUCUAUCUUUUUUUUGGUCAAUCUGGUUAAGGGUUUGUCAAUUUUGUUGAUCUUUUGGAAGUAGAAUCUUUUGGUUUCAUUGAUUGCUUUCUAUUAUUUUUCUA
Molecule: non-coding RNA, 19939 nt
Organism: Callithrix jacchus (white-tufted-ear marmoset)
Lineage: Eukaryota; Metazoa; Chordata; Mammalia; Primates; Cebidae
Source: RefSeq, a predicted model, not a curated record